RNAcentral lists this ribosomal RNA (58 nucleotides) under Paenibacillus jamilae. RNAcentral describes it as "partial 23S ribosomal RNA". Lineage: Bacteria; Bacillati; Bacillota; Bacilli; Caryophanales; Paenibacillaceae. The record is from RNAcentral.
UGUGAAGUGCAGUAAUGAAUUGAGCUGACCAAUACUUAUCGGUCGUGGGCUUAUCCUA